Long non-coding RNA from Gopherus evgoodei (Goodes thornscrub tortoise), 915 nucleotides. RefSeq lists it as uncharacterized. The record is from RefSeq and is a predicted model, not a curated record. NCBI's taxonomy places the organism in Eukaryota, Metazoa, Chordata, Testudines, Testudinidae. The transcript is spliced from 5 exons.
CAAAAAUCUUCUGCAACAAUGAAGGCUUGGGCUGAUGACCAGUGGCUGAAGAACUUUUGGAUGGUCCACAUUUCUGCAUCUUUGUGCAAAACUCACCAAAAUAAAAGCUGCACUGACAGUGGAGAAGAAAAAAUAAUUGUACUACGGGGAUCUGCAACACCAGAUUAUUAUUGGUCAAUCACUGCUCUCUCUCCUAAACUAAGAUGGAAUGGAUUUCUUUAAUAUUCAAGACUGUGAGCUAAGAUCAUCAGUGAAGACUCAGGAGUUCAAGCUUCCUGGAGUGGGGGUUUCUCUAUUUCAGAUUCUUCAGAUUUCCAGACAACUAUUUUCUCCAAAAAAGUUGCACCAAGCAAAAAAUUACCUCAAUACACAUAAUGGCAAGGAAAUCUUUUGAAGAAAAAAUUGCAAAUGUUUUAGCAUACAUAAGGAGUAGCACAUAUCCUGAAGGAAUGAAUAAAGUAGGCAGACUGAACCUGCGUCGAUUUGCUGUCAACUUUUCAUUGGAAGAGGGGAGAUUGUUCCAUUCAGCAAAAGGAAGAAAGGUUGUUGUUGUACAUACCAUGAAAGAAGCCCUGCAACUCUUUAAAAGGUAUCAUGACAGUCCAGCGGGUGGACAUCUAGGAAUAUUCAAAACCAGGAAUGCGCUGACAUCAAAAUGCUAUUGGCCAGGGAUGACAAAAGACAUUGCCAAUUGGGUAUGUAAAGUAAUGAAACAAAAUCCUGAUGAAUGGUGUUUACAAUUGAAAUAGAAGUACAAAAUGAAUGAAAGAAAUAUAAAAGUAUAUUUGGUGUGCAAAUGUGAACUCUGUUCCCUUGUGAUACUAUUUCCAUAACGAAAUGUUCAUGUCAUCAUAUUGUUCCAUCAAAAACAGGUUGCACAGUGUCUGACUUGCCAGAAAGAGGGAAAGCAAUCAA